Molecule: long non-coding RNA, 1101 nt
Filed under: Vulpes vulpes (red fox)
Lineage: Eukaryota; Metazoa; Chordata; Mammalia; Carnivora; Canidae
Description: lncRNA (ENSVVUG00000014074.1)
Source: RNAcentral
AAAAUUAAUAGGAAAAUUCCCUCCUCCCUGCUAAAAAGAAGUUCUCCUUUCCCCAAUAUUCAGAUGUGUGGACUCUAAAGCCAGGACCAUUCCAUGUUCAGAAGACAAAAAAGAAUAAAUCAAUGUGAAGAGAAAGACCCCUGGUGCUUACAUGCUAUCUAACCACUGAAACUCAGAACCUAAAACAUCACUCCACAUUGCUAUGUGUUACUAGGUUUUAUUCUGAAACAUUAAAGAUAUAAUCCGGGAUGCUUGGGUGGCUUAGUGGUUGAGUGUUUGCCUUUGGCUCAGGUCAUAGUCCUGGGGCCCUGGGAUUGAGUCCUGCAUUGGGCUCCCCAGAUGGAGCCUGCUUCUCCCUCUGCCUAUGUGUCUGCGUCUCUCUGUGUGUCUCUCAUGAAUAGGUAAAAAUAAAAUCUUUAAAAAAAGGAUAUAAUUUGCAUUAGAAAACACUUUCCAUAUAAUAUCCAUAUAAUGUUACAGAAAUUGGUAAAAUGUGUGCAGUUCUUCAGGCUCACCUGAAAUUGUUAACAAACUGGCCCCCAAACUCCCAUUGUUCAACACUUUGGAACAGAAUAGCCUUAGGCCACCGAGAAUUCAGAGCAGAGAACAUAUAAUUCCUCCUCCCCCAACAGAACAAGUGAUACAAUGCCAACGCCGAUAAAACCCCUGGAACCAGGGCACCAUCACAAAUGAGCCAUCACAGGUAGAUUCUAACCCAUGUGGGCAGGCAGAGACAUACAGCCAGUAACAGUAGCUACUGUGAAACAUCAAAAUUUUCCUCCACCACUUUUAACCAGGAAAUAGCUCUUGAUUAACAAGUGAGCCCUGAUAGAAGUAGAACAUCUGACCAUGGGAGCCAAGCUGCCAUUGAUGGCUGAUAUGUCUUUCCCUGACCCAUCAAUUGACCAACCAACAAGAUUCCAUCUUCAAGGAAGAAUACGAAGACUGGGUCUGAGCAGAUUGCCAUAUAGAGGAAAAGUUUCGGACUUGGAUGCAGUUGUUGAUGGAAACAUUUUGUGCUCCUCUUUAGGAAGAAGAGUGGAACAAAGGAAGUUACCUCAGCAUUUUAGUGAUUACACUGUGAGUCCUGGUGCUCCAUAA